RNAcentral lists this microRNA (21 nucleotides) under Zea mays. RNAcentral's name for it is "zma-miR399e-5p". Its record names the gene zma-miR399e-5p. The record is from miRBase by way of RNAcentral. Lineage: Eukaryota; Viridiplantae; Streptophyta; Magnoliopsida; Poales; Poaceae.
GGGCUUCUCUUUCUUGGCAGG